This is a long non-coding RNA of Pristis pectinata (smalltooth sawfish), 987 nucleotides long. RefSeq lists it as uncharacterized. NCBI's taxonomy places the organism in Eukaryota, Metazoa, Chordata, Chondrichthyes, Rhinopristiformes, Pristidae. The transcript is spliced from 3 exons. The record is from RefSeq and is a predicted model, not a curated record.
GAUGCAUAUUCUAAAUACUUAACCUCUCAUUAUGUUAGAGAUAAACCACUGAUGCUUGAUCUUUAUCCAGUGAUGCCUGCCUUAGUAGUGGGUUUGCUGAGAGCCAUAUAAGGUACUGAGUGUGGCAUGUCUUUUGGAAACGGAACUGGAUUCCCAACUGUGGCUGUGAAUCUGCAUGCAACAGGGAGUCAGACCAAUUCGGAGUGGUGUGUUAACGGUAUGGAAAGCUGAGCUAAUGGCAGCUAUUGCAAAGAAAGUGGCUUACAUUAAAAAGCAAAUGACAAGAACACACAUUGCUGGAUGAUGCGAGAAGAGAAAACAGCUGUCGUUGAUUCUGCAUGAAAUGAAUUGUUACAGUCCAAUUUCACUGGGUAGAAACCUACAGCAAGCAUCUGUUUUCACAUUUGGUGCUAACCAGGAUGCAUGGAAAGAACAUUUUGAUCAGGCUGGGAUUUAAACAGCAAUAUCAAAGUCCUGGAGAUAACAUUCCUUCAGACAAAAUCCCUGUUAAUAACAAGCUAGGAAAUGCUGUUACUUUCCCAUACUCUGAUACAAGUGGUACAAAGUAACAACCCAAGGAGGAAUUCAUAACAAGCUGGCCAAAUCAUCUUACCAGAAGGAAAAGUGGGCUAAUAACAACCCAGCAUAUCUGCCAGAACAAGCCUGGACUGAAACCAAGCAUCUCUUUAAUAUCCCGGCAAAAACGUUUCAUUCCUAAAACAAGAAGAAGAGAAAAAGUGAACAUGAAACAAGCCCAACAGUUCAAAGUUCUGAUUAAGGAUCUCCAACCUGAAACACUGAGUCCAUUUCUCGUCACACAGAUGUGGCCUGAUCUGCUGAGUAUUUCCAGCAUUUUCUGGUUUUUUUUUCGUUCAAAGUUUGGUUGUUGACUAUCCUUCAUUUACAUUAACCCAUGUGAUACAGUAAUCCCACGUGAGAAUACAACAACAGAUUUAAACUAUUUGAAGUUUGACUAGUCCCAGCAAA